GUCUGGGCUGCCCCUCAGAAUCAGUGACCUCCUACAAGUUUUCCUGACAGACUGGGUCUCAGGGAACAUCUGGAACAGUCCUAAUGGGGGUUGUUUUCAGCGGAUGUUGGACCUACCACCAGCCUUGGGGGCCUCAAAGAUUCAUCUGAACCUGGCAUGGUUACCUCGAAGGAACACGUGACCUGUCUCCUGUGUGUUUCUGUGGGCGUUGGAACGGAGCGUGUAUCAUGCUUUACGGAAAUUCCGGAAUCUGGGAAUGCUAGUGAGCAAAUAAUAAUCUAAAAAGGGAGCAUGAGUGAAGCUUAGUUCCCGAAGGUCUUGGAACCCACACGAAAGAGCUUGAACUUGAUCCGGUAGGCAUUCGUGUGUCACUGGAGGAGCAGAGGAACGUCACUGGAAUUUAUAUGUAUGCCUAGAAUCCUUCUCUUUUGAGGAUGUUAUGUAUUUCCAUGGACAAAAUUAAAUUAAAGUUCUGUCUUCUAGACAGUUUUUUCCUUUAUCUAAUUUUGUCUGUCUUGCUUGC
Molecule: long non-coding RNA, 523 nt
Filed under: Ursus maritimus (polar bear)
Lineage: Eukaryota; Metazoa; Chordata; Mammalia; Carnivora; Ursidae
Description: lncRNA (ENSUMAG00000015453.1)
Source: RNAcentral